GUUAUAGAUGAGCAUCAAAAAGGAAGAUUUUUUAAAAGUAAUGGAUACAUAUUUUUCAAGUGUUAACCGACUUGCUUUAUCUAUAUUUUUUAUCGACAUAUGUAUUGCAAAAUAUACGAAAAAGAUCCUCGUAUAUUUCCUCAUUAUUGCAAUUCAUCUGAGUGUUAGUACGACCACCAAUCUCAAUAUUGUCAUAAACACCACUCUGUGUAUCACUAGAACGUCGACUUCGUUCAUAAUCGUUAAGUUGGCUGGUUAGGGGUAAUUCACCAGGACGUUGGUUGUUGCUGAAACAUGAUCAAUGAUAUGCAGUCAACUGUUAAACUUGUCAAGGUGUAUAUGUUGUGUAAUCUUAAAGGCACUUUAAAACAUCGAUCUAUGUUACAAUUUUAUAUGAUAGAGAAUAUGUCGUUAUGAUACUAAAUGAAAAUAAAAUUUUAUUAGUCUUAUA
Molecule: long non-coding RNA, 451 nt
Organism: Mytilus californianus (California mussel)
Lineage: Eukaryota; Metazoa; Mollusca; Bivalvia; Mytilida; Mytilidae
Exons: 2
Source: RefSeq, a predicted model, not a curated record